GCUAAUAACCGGAUAACAACAGAUGAUGCCUAUCAACUGUUUAAAAGAUGGUUCUGCUAUCACUCUUGGAUGGACCUGCGGUGCAUUAGCUAGUUGGUAGGGUAACGGCCUACCAAGGCGAUGAUGCAUAGCCGAGUUGAGAGACUGAUCGGCCACAUUGGGACUGAGACACGGCCCAAACUCCUACGGGAGGCAGCAGGU
This 201-nucleotide ribosomal RNA is filed under the name uncultured Lactobacillus sp. Its description in RNAcentral is "partial 16S ribosomal RNA". It matches the Rfam family "Bacterial small subunit ribosomal RNA", at positions 162 to 354 of the family's 1533-position model. The record is from RNAcentral. Lineage: Bacteria; Bacillati; Bacillota; Bacilli; Lactobacillales; Lactobacillaceae.